Molecule: long non-coding RNA, 305 nt
Organism: Hydra vulgaris (swiftwater hydra)
Lineage: Eukaryota; Metazoa; Cnidaria; Hydrozoa; Anthoathecata; Hydridae
Source: RefSeq, a predicted model, not a curated record
UUUGUGUUGUGUAGGUCAAAAAAUAAUAGAUGAAGAUGAUAUUGAUUUUGAUGACUAAGACUUCAUUUUAAGACACAUCAAUCUUCAUCAUUUUUAAAUAAAAAGGAUAAACAUUAUGGAUUUCCAUUAUCUCAAGCAAAAACAAAGAGUUCAAAAUAUUGGUGGUAAGAACUGUCAAAAACUUGUGAUAGCUAUGAUGAAGAGUUUUAUGACAAAUUCACUCAUGGCCAAAUAUAAUAUGGCAGCUGGAAAAGGCAAAGGAUCUUUUUAGUCUAACCAAGCUAUACAACUUAUAAAAGGUAUGU